This 2235-nucleotide long non-coding RNA is filed under the name Rattus norvegicus (Norway rat). RNAcentral describes it as "long non-coding RNA NONRATT004538". Lineage: Eukaryota; Metazoa; Chordata; Mammalia; Rodentia; Muridae. The record is from RNAcentral.
CACAGAAAGAUCAAGAAUGAGGCCGUGGUGUUCCCUGAGGAGCCGGAGGUCAGCGAGGAACUCAAAGACCUGAUCCUGAAGAUGCUAGACAAGAAUCCUGAAACAAGAAUUGGGGUGUCUGAUAUCAAGUUACACCCUUGGGUGACCAAGCAUGGAGAGGAGCCCCUCCCUUCAGAGGAGGAACACUGCAGUGUGGUAGAGGUGACUGAGGAGGAGGUGAAGAACUCAGUCAAGCUCAUCCCCAGCUGGACCACUGUGAUCCUGGUCAAGUCUAUGCUGAGAAAGCGUUCCUUUGGAAACCCAUUUGAGCCCCAAGCACGCAGGGAAGAAAGAUCUAUGUCUGCGCCAGGAAACUUACUGUUGAAAGAAGGAUGUGGAGAAGGGGGCAAAAGCCCAGAGCUUCCCGGAGUCCAGGAAGAUGAGGCUGCAUCCUGAGUCCCUGCAUGUGCCCAGGGCCAUCGGCAGCAUGCUCAUUCCGCUCCUCCAGAGGCCCACCGCCCUCAUGCAAUCAUCGCCCCUGCAGGCAGGGGGCUGGGGACUGCAGCCCCUCUCCUGGCCCCCCUCACCCAUUGUGCUGCAUGACCUGCGCACAGGCAUAUCCAGGGACAGGAUUGGAAUGUGUAUCAUUUGGGGCUCGGGGGUCCCGGUUGGUUCUCUCUGUUCUGAUCUAUCUUGUGGGGAAUAUUAGAAACCCUACCUGACUGGCUGGUGAGGCCCAGGGCAGAAGGCAAGAGACCAAAAUAGCAGGUGGAGACCUGGUGGGCUGCUUCUCAGAGAACUCCCAUAGUGAUCGGUGGCCUGCCCAGCUGCUGCACACGAGGAGUGAUUGUGUCACUUCUGUGUGGAAGGUGCUGAGUGCUGGAGUCCUCAGAUCUCUAGUGUGGAUGCUACAAGUAAUGAGGCGUGCCUGGGAGAAGACUGAUCUUGGAGAAUCCAGAUUCCUCUCAUUGUCUUUUACCUGAGGGCUUGGGUGGGAGCGGCUGUUAUGGAGAGCAUCUUCUGGCUUUGGGUAGUCCGUGGUACACUGUACGGCAGUCACGAGGAUCUGACAUUCAUAGACUGUGUUUUACACUUGGCACUUGCUGGAGAAAGGACCAAAGUGAAUCCAGCUUAGAGCAUAGACCUGAGCCUGGAGCAGUGUACUUCUCCUGCCAACCUCCCUUCCUCUCUCACGGAUCUCCAGAAUGAAGGUUACAGAACACCAGGAGUGACAAGGAGGGCCACGGACUCUCAGCACUGUGGCCCUGCAGAUGUGGAAGUAACUGGGAUCUAGGCGCUGAGCCGACACUGGCUUACUCACUACAUGCUCUGAUGGAGGAGGCUCAGCCAGAUGAGGGACCGUACAAGACGCACUCCUGUCAGGCUGGUGGCCCUUCUGUCAGUUGCUUCAGUACAGGACAUCAGACAGUCAGCCCACACAGGUCAGAGCUGCACAGUUGGGACACACGUGGACACUGCCCUUUCAGAACAGAUGUCAGCUCUCUGGAUUCUGUGGUCGUCUGGCUAUUCUAAUGUUUACUGAUAAUGCUCAUAGGGAUUGGUCCCCAAAGGGAGAUGAGCAGGACUCAGGUAGCCCUCUCUGAAAGCCUCCCAUAAGAGAUCCUGGCUGCCCACAUGGGUUUCAAGAAUGCAGGAGGGCUAGGCUAGAAAAGAGAGAGGCUGUGCGGGAGCGCUGGUUCCCACUCUUAUCUCUGUGCCCAUGGGUGUACAUUGCUCCUUCAUGUGCACAUGCGUGUGUGUGCCCAUCUGCUGUAUACAGCACACUUGCAUGUCUCAUACUGGCACAUGCAUCUGUAAUAUAGUUUCUAUGUCAACUUAUGCCUAGGAGCAGAAGGUAGCCCAUUGUCAAAGGGCUCCCAUUUCAACCCAACUCCUCUGCACUAAGGCAGCCAGUGUAACCCAGGGCUUGAAAACAAAUAAUCUAAUCCUAUCUCUAAGAAUACUUUUAUAGAGUGAAUAGGAGGCAAGUUAUGCCAACCAAUAAAUAGCAAAGAGUCAGGGAGCUUCACCGAUGGGACCCACACAGGAAAAGCUCGGAGUUGGGUGGCUGGCUCAUUGUCCCCAGCAGAGCCAGGAAGGCAUGCUCACUGUCACCUGUUGUUGAGAGCUUUGGUUGGCUUUGGUUUUGAAUGUAGCACAAGUGAACAAACUCCAUAAGAGUGUUUAUAAAAAUUAACUUCUUAGGAAGUGAAUUAAAAACAAUAAAAGCCCUUUGUUGAGUUAAAAAAAAAAAAA